This 660-nucleotide ribosomal RNA is filed under the name uncultured Lachnospiraceae bacterium. RNAcentral's name for it is "bacterial SSU rRNA". It matches the Rfam family "Bacterial small subunit ribosomal RNA", at positions 62 to 723 of the family's 1533-position model. Lineage: Bacteria; Bacillati; Bacillota; Clostridia; Lachnospirales; Lachnospiraceae. The record is from RNAcentral.
UCGAACGGGAAAUAUUUCAUUGAGACUUCGGUGGAUUUGAUCUAUUUCUAGUGGCGGACGGGUGAGUAACGCGUGGGUAACCUGCCUUAUACAGGGGGAUAACAGUCAGAAAUGGCUGCUAAUACCGCAUAAGCGCACAGAGCUGCAUGGCUCAGUGUGAAAAACUCCGGUGGUAUAAGAUGGACCCGCGUUGGAUUAGCUUGUUGGUGGGGUAACGGCCCACCAAGGCGACGAUCCAUAGCCGGCCUGAGAGGGUGAACGGCCACAUUGGGACUGAGACACGGCCCAGACUCCUACGGGAGGCAGCAGUGGGGAAUAUUGCACAAUGGGGGGAACCCUGAUGCAGCGACGCCGCGUGAAGGAAGAAGUAUCUCGGUAUGUAAACUUCUAUCAGCAGGGAAGAUAGUGACGGUACCUGACUAAGAAGCCCCGGCUAACUACGUGCCAGCAGCCGCGGUAAUACGUAGGGGGCAAGCGUUAUCCGGAUUUACUGGGUGUAAAGGGAGCGUAGACGGUGUGGCAAGUCUGAUGUGAAAGGCAUGGGCUCAACCUGUGGACUGCAUUGGAAACUGUCAUACUUGAGUGCCGGAGGGGUAAGCGGAAUUCCUAGUGUAGCGGUGAAAUGCGUAGAUAUUAGGAGGAACACCAGUGGCGAAGGCG